CUCAAUAGAGAACAAACAAAUUGCUGGUGUACAACACCUUGUGAUCAGAUGCCAACUUGACUGUGUGAGACACUCGAUGCCCAGUGCUGUAUCCUUCUAUAGAUACUAUUUUGUCAAUAGUUACAAGCAGUACCGCAGAUAGAUUGUUCAGUGUGGUAUGUCGGUUGAAAACAUAUGUACGAUUAACCAUGAAUAACGAUAGGUCAUCAUUGCUAACAUUAAUGCAUAUUCAUCAGGAUUUCAGUAUGAAUAUGGACAAAGUAAUGGAGAGAUUUGUUUCUGCUAAGACUUGAAGAGCAGAUUUUGGACAAUUUGAGUAAGUU
This 323-nucleotide long non-coding RNA is filed under the name Mytilus galloprovincialis (Mediterranean mussel). The record is from RNAcentral. Lineage: Eukaryota; Metazoa; Mollusca; Bivalvia; Mytilida; Mytilidae.